RNAcentral lists this ribosomal RNA (484 nucleotides) under uncultured bacterium. RNAcentral's name for it is "partial 16S ribosomal RNA". It matches the Rfam family "Bacterial small subunit ribosomal RNA", at positions 30 to 507 of the family's 1533-position model. The record is from RNAcentral.
AUUGAACGCUGGCGGCAGGCCUAACACAUGCGAGUCGAGCGGAUGAAGGGAGCUUGCUCCUGGAUUCAGCGGCGGACGGGUGAGUAAUGCCUAGGAAUCUGCCUGGUAGUGGGGGAUAACGUCCGGAAACGGGCGCUAAUACCGCAUACGUCCUGAGGGAGAAAGUGGGGGAUCUUCGGACCUCACGCUGUCAGAUGGGCCUAGGUCGGAUUAGCUAGUUGGUGGGGUAAAGGCCUACCAAGGCGACGAUCCGUAACUGGUCUGAGAGGAUGAUCAGUCACACUGGAACUGAGACACGGUCCAGACUCCUACGGGAGGCAGCAGUGGGGAAUAUUGGACAAUGGGCGAAAGCCUGAUCCAGCCAUGCCGCGUGUGUGAAGAAGGUCUUCGGAUUGUAAAGCACUUUAAGUUGGGAGGAAGGGCAGUAAGUUAAUACCUUGCUGUUUUGACGUUACCAACAGAAUAAGCACCGGCUAACUUCGUG